RNAcentral lists this unclassified non-coding RNA (234 nucleotides) under plant metagenome. RNAcentral describes it as "partial contains small subunit ribosomal RNA, internal transcribed spacer 1, and 5.8S ribosomal RNA". The record is from RNAcentral.
UAUCCGUAGGUGAACCUGCGGAAGGAUCAUUAAAGUUAUAGUCCCCUGGCCCUCUGGGCUGGGGUCUUCUAUACCACCCUUUGUUUAUUACACCUUUGUUGCUUUGGCAGGCCUGCCCUCGGGCUGCUGGCUCCGGCCGGCGAGCGCCUGCCAGAGGACCUAAACUCUGUUUGUCUAUAAUGUCUGAGUACUAUAUAAUAGUUAAAACUUUCAACAACGGAUCUCUUGGUUCUG